This 227-nucleotide long non-coding RNA is filed under the name Pelobates cultripes (western spadefoot toad). Lineage: Eukaryota; Metazoa; Chordata; Amphibia; Anura; Pelobatidae. The record is from RNAcentral.
CAUUGAUGGCAGCUUGUUUUGCCAGUGAAUCGGCUAAGUCAUUACCAUCCUUAUCAAUACCUUCUAUUUUAGAAUGGCCUUUGGUUUUCUUCCAAUAUAUGGUUAAACCAUUUUUCUUAACCAACUCAUCAAUUUUACAAAACAAUUUCCCAUGUUUAACAGGUUUGUUAUUGCUUUUCAGCAUUUGGUUACGUUUCCAGCUAGGCAGAUAUUCGACGAAACUGUUG